RNAcentral lists this ribosomal RNA (449 nucleotides) under uncultured bacterium. Its description in RNAcentral is "partial 16S ribosomal RNA". It matches the Rfam family "Bacterial small subunit ribosomal RNA", at positions 29 to 523 of the family's 1533-position model. The record is from RNAcentral.
AGCGAACGCUGGCGGCAGGCUUAACACAUGCAAGUCGAACGCAUCCUUCGGGGUGAGUGGCAGACGGGUGAGUAACGCGUGGGAACAUGCCCUUUGGUUCGGAAUAACUCAGGGAAACUUGAGCUAAUACCGGAUAAGCCCUUUUGGGGAAAGAUUUAUCGCCGAAGGUUUGGCCGGCGUCCGAUUAGCUAGGUGGUGAGGUAAUGGCUCACCAAGGCGACGAUCGGUAGCUGGUCUGAGAGGAUGAUCAGCCACACUGGGACUGAGACACGGCCCAGACUCCUACGGGAGGCAGCAGUGGGGAAUAUUGGACAAUGGGGGCAACCCUGAUCCAGCCAUGCCGCGUGAGGGAUGAAGGCCCUAGGGUUGUAAAGCUCUUUCGGCGGGGACGAUAAUGACGGUACCCGCAGAAGAAGCCCCGGCUAACUUCGUGCCAGCAGCCGCAGUAA